GACGAACGCUGGCGGCGUGCUUAACACAUGCAAGUCGAACGGAAAGGCCCUGCUUUUGUGGGGUGCUCGAGUGGCGAACGGGUGAGUAACACGUGAGUAACCUGCCCUUGACUUUGGGAUAACUUCAGGAAACUGGGGCUAAUACCGGAUAGGAGCUCCUGCUGCAUGGUGGGGGUUGGAAAGUUUCGGCGGUUGGGGAUGGACUCGCGGCUUAUCAGCUUGUUGGUGGGGUAGUGGCUUACCAAGGCUUUGACGGGUAGCCGGCCUGAGAGGGUGACCGGCCCCGUUGGGACUGAGAUACGGCCCAGACUCCUACGGGAGGCAGCAGUGGGGAAUAUUGCACAAUGGGCGGAAGCCUGAUGCAGCAACGCCGCGUGCGGGAUGACGGCCUUCGGGUUGUAAACCGCUUUCGCCUGUGACGAAGCGUGAGUGACGGUAAUGUGUAAAGAAGCACCGGCUAACUACGUG
RNAcentral lists this ribosomal RNA (468 nucleotides) under uncultured bacterium. RNAcentral describes it as "partial 16S ribosomal RNA". It matches the Rfam family "Bacterial small subunit ribosomal RNA", at positions 28 to 507 of the family's 1533-position model. The record is from RNAcentral.